GCUGGGUGUGGUGGCACACACCUAUAGUCCCAGCUACUUGGGAGGCUGAGGCAGGAGAAUCGCUUGAACCCAUGAGACCAAGGUUGCAGUGAGCUGAGAUCACACCACUGCAGUCUAGCCUGGGUGACACAGUGAGACCCUGUCUCAA
Unclassified non-coding RNA from Macaca fascicularis (crab-eating macaque), 148 nucleotides. It matches the Rfam family "Metazoan signal recognition particle RNA". Rfam says of the family: The signal recognition particle (SRP) is a universally conserved ribonucleoprotein. It is involved in the co-translational targeting of proteins to membranes. The record is from Ensembl. NCBI's taxonomy places the organism in Eukaryota, Metazoa, Chordata, Mammalia, Primates, Cercopithecidae.